ACUGCUCAGUAACACGUGGAUAACCUGCCCUUGGGUCCGGCAUAACCCCGGGAAACUGGGGAUAAUUCCGGAUAACGCACAUAUGCUGGAAUGCUUUAUGCGUAAAAUGGAUUCGUCUGCCCAAGGAUGGGUCUGCGGCCUAUCAGGUAGUAGUGGGUGUAAUGUACCUACUAGCCAACAACGGGUACGGGUUGUGAGAGCAAGAGCCCGGAGAUGGAUUCUGAGACAUGAAUCCAGGCCCUACGGGGCGCAGCAGGCGCGAAAACUUUACAAUGCGGGAAACCGUGAUAAGGGGACACCGAGUGCCAGCAUCAUAUGCUGGCUGUCCAGGUGUGUAAACUACACCUGUUAGCAAGGGCCGGGCAAGACCGGUGCCAGCCGCCGCGGUAACACCGGCGGCCCGAGUGGUGAUCGUGAUUAUUGGGUCUAAAGGGUCCGUAGCCGGUUUGGUCAGUCCUCCGGGAAAUCUGAUAGCUCAACUAUUAGGCUUUCGGGGGAUACUGCCAGGCUUGGAACCGGGAGAGGUAAGAGGUACUACAGGGGUAGGAGUGAAAUCUUGUAAUCCCUGUGGGACCACCUGUGGCGAAGGCGUCUUACCAGAACGGGUUCGACGGUGAGGGACGAAAGCUGGGGGCACGAACCGGAUUAGAUACCCGGGUAGUCCCAGCCGUAAACGAUGCUCGCUAGGUGUCAGGCAUGGCGCGACCGUGUCUGGUGCCGCAGGGAAGCCGUGAAGCGAGCCACCUGGGAAGUACGGCCGCAAGGCUGAAACUUAAAGGAAUUGGCGGGGGAGCAC
This 796-nucleotide ribosomal RNA is filed under the name uncultured archaeon. RNAcentral's name for it is "bacterial SSU rRNA". It matches the Rfam family "Archaeal small subunit ribosomal RNA", at positions 85 to 879 of the family's 1478-position model. RNAcentral also lists the same sequence under 1 other name. The record is from RNAcentral.